GACGAACGCUGGCGGCGUGCUUAACACAUGCAAGUCGAACGGAAAGGCCCUGCUUGCAGGGUACUCGAGUGGCGAACGGGUGAGUAACACGUGGGUGAUCUGCCCUGCACUUCGGGAUAAGCCUGGGAAACUGGGUCUAAUACCGGAUAGGAGCCUUUACUAGUGUGAUGGUUGUGAAGUUUUUUCGGUGUAGGAUGGGCUCGCGGCCUAUCAGCUUGUUGGUGGGGUAAUGGCCUACCAAGGCGGCGACGGGUAGCCGGCCUGAGAGGGUGGACGGCCACAUAGGGGACGGGAACACGCCCAGACUCCUACGGGAGGGAGGCGUGGGGAAUAAUGCAAAAUGGGCGCAAGGCUGAUGCAGCGAAGCCGCGGUGGGGAUGACGGCCUUCGGGUUGGAAACUCCUUUCGAUAAGGACGAAACUUAUUGUGACGGUACCUAGAGAAGAAGCACCGGCUAACUACGUG
This 465-nucleotide ribosomal RNA is filed under the name uncultured bacterium. Its description in RNAcentral is "partial 16S ribosomal RNA". It matches the Rfam family "Bacterial small subunit ribosomal RNA", at positions 28 to 507 of the family's 1533-position model. The record is from RNAcentral.